This 90-nucleotide transfer RNA is filed under the name Hypoxylon sp. FL0543. RNAcentral's name for it is "tRNA-Phe". It matches the Rfam family "tRNA". Rfam says of the family: Transfer RNA (tRNA) molecules are approximately 80 nucleotides in length. Their secondary structure includes four short double-helical elements and three loops (D, anti-codon, and T loops). Further hydrogen bonds mediate the characteristic L-shaped molecular structure. tRNAs have two regions of fundamental functional importance: the anti-codon, which is responsible for specific mRNA codon recognition, and the 3' end, to which the tRNAs corresponding amino acid is attached (by aminoacyl-tRNA synthetases). tRNAs cope with the degeneracy of the genetic code in two manners: having more than one tRNA (with a specific anti-codon) for a particular amino acid; and 'wobble' base-pairing, i.e. permitting non-standard base-pairing at the 3rd anti-codon position. Lineage: Eukaryota; Fungi; Ascomycota; Sordariomycetes; Xylariales; Hypoxylaceae. The record is from RNAcentral.
GCGGGGAUAGCUCAGUUGGGAGAGCGUCAGACUGAAGUCAACUUCAAUCUUGAAAUCUGAAGGUCGUGCGUUCGAUCCGCACUCACCGCA